This 74-nucleotide transfer RNA is filed under the name Chloropicon maureeniae. Its description in RNAcentral is "tRNA-Ile". It matches the Rfam family "tRNA". Rfam says of the family: Transfer RNA (tRNA) molecules are approximately 80 nucleotides in length. Their secondary structure includes four short double-helical elements and three loops (D, anti-codon, and T loops). Further hydrogen bonds mediate the characteristic L-shaped molecular structure. tRNAs have two regions of fundamental functional importance: the anti-codon, which is responsible for specific mRNA codon recognition, and the 3' end, to which the tRNAs corresponding amino acid is attached (by aminoacyl-tRNA synthetases). tRNAs cope with the degeneracy of the genetic code in two manners: having more than one tRNA (with a specific anti-codon) for a particular amino acid; and 'wobble' base-pairing, i.e. permitting non-standard base-pairing at the 3rd anti-codon position. Lineage: Eukaryota; Viridiplantae; Chlorophyta; Chloropicophyceae; Chloropicales; Chloropicaceae. The record is from RNAcentral.
GGGCUUAUAGUUUAAUCGGUGAAAACCAACCGCUCAUAACGGUUCCAAUACAGGUUCGAGUCCUGUUAAGCCUA